Molecule: ribosomal RNA, 500 nt
Filed under: uncultured bacterium
Lineage: Bacteria
Description: partial 16S ribosomal RNA
Rfam family: Bacterial small subunit ribosomal RNA
Source: RNAcentral
AUUGAACGCUGGCGGAAUGCUUUACACAUGCAAGUCGAACGGCAGCUCGGACUUCGGUCUGGUGGCGAGUGGCGAACGGGUGAGUAAUGUAUCGGAACGUGCCCAGUCGUGGGGGAUAACGUAGUGAAAAUUACGCUAAUACCGCAUACGAUCUAUGGAUGAAAGCGGGGGAUCGCAAACCCUCGCGCGAUUGGAGCGGCCGAUAUCUGAUUAGGUAGUUGGUGGGGUAAAGGACCACCAAGCCAAGGCUCUGUAGCUGGUCCGAGAGGACGACCAGCCACACUGGAACUGAGACACGGUCCAGACUCCUACGGGAGGCAGCAGUGGGGAAUUUUGGACAAUGGACGCAAGUCUGAUCCAGCCAUUCCGCGUGCAGGAUGAAGGCCCUCGGGUUGUAAACUGCUUUUGUACGGAACGAAAAGGUCUCUCUUAAUACGGGGGGCUCAUGACGGUACCGUAAGAAUAAGCACCGGCUAACUACGUGCCAGCCGCCGCCGUAA